UACGUAGGGACCGAGCGUUGUCCGGAAUCAUUGGGCGUAAAGAGCGUGUAGGCGGCCCUUUAAGUCCUGCGUGAAAUCCUGCGGCUCAACCGCAGACGGUCGUGGGAAACUGGAGGGCUAGAGUGCGGGAGAGGAGAGUGGAAUUCCCGGUGUAGCGGUUAAAUGCGCAGAUAUCGGGAAGAACACCCGUGGCGAAGGCGGCUCUCUGGGCCGAUACUGACGCUGAGGAGCGAAAGCGUGGGGAGCGAACAGG
Molecule: ribosomal RNA, 253 nt
Filed under: uncultured bacterium
Lineage: Bacteria
Description: partial 16S ribosomal RNA
Rfam family: Bacterial small subunit ribosomal RNA
Source: RNAcentral